Molecule: long non-coding RNA, 2706 nt
Organism: Alexandromys fortis (reed vole)
Lineage: Eukaryota; Metazoa; Chordata; Mammalia; Rodentia; Cricetidae
Exons: 2
Source: RefSeq, a predicted model, not a curated record
CAGUCUGUUCAGAAGAUUAAAUGAACAAAUUAGUCCCUUGGUUCAGCAUCCAGAGGAUGCCUUCUGUUAAUACACAGGCACCACUGGGAGAGACAGCAAUGUUGGUGUCCGUCAGGAGUGCCCUCUGCAACCGACACGGCAGCCUAAACAGCUGCUGGUUGUGAGCUGUGCCAGAGUGAACUCUGACAUCCUGCCAUCUCCACACCACUUUAAGAAGGCCUCCUCACUGGACUAUCAGUCAGUGUGCUUGGCCACGGGUCACAUUCUAGGGAUUUGUUCUCUUUCCUACUCAUGGAGACUUUUAAAACCGAAACAAUUUGACCAAGGUAGAUGGUUACUUUAGCAUUAUUUUGUCAUAUGUCCGAGAAGUUUUCACGUCAAGAUCAUUUACAACUGUGGUACAAAAAAAGGGGACAGUAAUGAAGUUGGUUUUUUUUUUUUUCUAAAAAAAAAAAAAAAGGACAGAUAAAUACAAGAAAUUGGUGGUAUAAGACUCCGGUACUCUUUACACCAGAAAAUAGAGUUUACAAAGGGAAUUCAGUUAUCUGUAACCAUGAGAAUGAGAUGGAACACUUUAUAGUGAGCUUAUGGGAAGCUUCUGUAACAACUGAUAAUGAUGACUCCACACGCCUUUCCCUGAACUCUCUGGAGCAUUCAUGCAUUGCUAGCAGGGAUGUUAAUCUGUCCGGUCACUACAGAAAUUGGUAUCAAGGUUCCUCAAAAAUCUACAAAUAGAACAUGAAUCAAAGCUAGCACACACUUAGUGAUUCUCACACACCCAGGUUACAUCCAAGCUAGGUGCCCAUCAAGAGGACAGAAAGAAUGCCAUGUGUACACGAAGGAGCACCAAUCACCAUGGACUUCCAGAGGAGUGCCUGGGACUGAAGUUAAUCUGGUGUGAAAUAAGAUGCUCAGACAGUCCUCACAUGCAGAACCCAGCUUUUUAAAGAGAAGGACAUGAAAGCAGAGGAGGGCUACUGGAGAGAGGAACGAGCGGGAGGAGGCCAGAGUGUAAGUGGGGUUCACAACGACAGACAUCUUAUGUGCACCUGUGAAAGUGUCAUAAUGAAAUGCAUUAUUUGGCCAAAUAAUAUAUGCUAGUAAAAAGACUUUCAAAAACCCCAUCUUCUGCUGGGAAAUGCAGAGGUCUAAAGAGAAACUAGAUAGGAAUUCAGACUUAAUACCUAUCAGUGCAUGCAACAUCUAUGGACUACUCCUGGGUAAACAAAGGUGCAUUUUAUGAUGAUUGCAUUGCAGAGGUGCCUUUAAAAACAACGUCCAACGAAGGAGAGUGCAAGAAUGUUUCCAAGCAGGAAAACGACAUCCACAUUUGAGCCAAUGAUUGACCUUUCCUGAGAGAGGAUUGAUGAGAAGGGAAACAAAGAGCUCUUUUCUUCCAGCCUUGUGAAGAAUGGGGCACAGCACCUGGCCAGGACAGCGGUCACCUCUGUCAGUGAAUGGGUGGCCAUGAGGACAUAUGGGAGCGUCUGUGGUGAUGGUAAAUUUGAUAUACAUGUCUGUGCACUUCAUUUAUGUAAAUUUUACUUUCAAGAAAAAUGCUGACAUAUAUUUAACUCUGCCUAAUGAAAUAUAUGCUGAAAUAUUUGGGACAAAAUAUAUUGAUAGCUACAGUUAAUGUUGAAAUACACCAAAUUUUACAACAAUGAGAGCCGGGCAGUGGUGGCACACACCUUUAAUCCCAACUAGGGAGGCAGACAGGUGGGCGUCUGAGAGCUCAAGGCCAGCCUGGUCUACAGAGCUGGUUCCAGAGCAGCCAAGGCUACACUGAUACCCUGUCUUGAACGGCUGCUGUAAAGGUCUCUCAUCGCUGCUGGACCUUUCAACGUUUUUCACAAUAAGACAAUCAUCUAGUGUAGACGAAGCCCAGUGUCGAGUCCGCUAGGUCCACUCACGGUCCUGCUGCUCCUCGGACUUCUCAUCCCCAGGUGGGACUUACCUGAGUAAUAAAAACUGUGGCACUUUUAUGUGAAACUUAAUUGCUUUCAUUCUGCCUAUCACUUUAAAAAAGUCCAGACUGGCGUGACUCAUAUGGUUACAGGUAACAGGAGAGCAGUUAUUAGAACGGAGUAGGCAGGAAGGAGCCUAAAAGUAAAUGUGAUUUUACUGCAUGACAAAUCUCCCUCAAGUAGCUUACUAUUUAUUGAACACUUCUAAUGAAGUGCUAUUAAAAAAGAUCCAACUUCCUACACACCAUUCAAAAGCACUGUUAACAAACUCAGUUUUGGGGCUAAAUAUGUUUCAGUUUGUCAUGUCUGAUGAGAUGAUUUAGAAUAAUUUUAUUUCAUAUAACUCUAAUUAAAAUCCUGAGCUAUAUACAAGCAGAAGAGACUGAGCAAGGAGUUCAAGUGUUGUGGAGCUCCACAAGGCCAGUUAACAGGUGACCAGCAGGACUGUGGCGGUUUGACUGUAAUUGCCCCCAUAAGCUCAUGGGGGGGGGGGGGGACACAUGGGAGGUGUGGCUUUGUUGGAGAAAGUGUGUCACUGUGGAGGCAGGCUUUAAGAUCUCAUUUAUGCUCAAGCCACACCCAGCAUCUCAGUUCACUUCCUGUUGCCUGCAAGAUGUAAAACUCUCAGCUCUUUCUCCAGCACCAUGUCUGCCUGCAUGCUGCCGUGUUCCCUCCAUGAUGAUAAUGGACUAAACCUCUGAACUGUAAGCCACCCCAUUAAAUGUUUUCCUUUAUAAGA